RNAcentral lists this ribosomal RNA (537 nucleotides) under Dactylonectria macrodidyma. RNAcentral's name for it is "eukaryotic LSU rRNA". The stretch from base 166 to 319 matches the Rfam family "5.8S ribosomal RNA". Lineage: Eukaryota; Fungi; Ascomycota; Sordariomycetes; Hypocreales; Nectriaceae. The record is from RNAcentral.
GUAGGUGAACCUGCGGAGGGAUCAUUACCGAGUUUACAACUCCCAAACCCCUGUGAACAUACCUAUUUGUUGCCUCGGCGGUGCCUGUUCCGACAGCCCGCCAGAGGACCCCAAACCCUGAUUACAUUUAAGAAGUCUUCUGAGUAAACCGAUUAAAUAAAUCAAAACUUUCAACAACGGAUCUCUUGGUUCUGGCAUCGAUGAAGAACGCAGCGAAAUGCGAUAAGUAAUGUGAAUUGCAGAAUUCAGUGAAUCAUCGAAUCUUUGAACGCACAUUGCGCCCGCUAGUAUUCUGGCGGGCAUGCCUGUCCGAGCGUCAUUUCAACCCUCAAGCCCCCGGGCUUGGUGUUGGGGAUCGGCGAGCCUCCGCGCCCGCCGUCCCCUAAAUCUAGUGGCGGUCUCGCUGUAGCUUCCUCUGCGUAGUAGCACACCUCGCACUGGGAAACAGCGCGGCCACGCCGUUAAACCCCCAACUUCUGAACGUUUGACCUCGGAUCAGGUAGGAAUACCCGCUGAACUUAAGCAUAUCAAUAAGCG